This 296-nucleotide ribosomal RNA is filed under the name uncultured bacterium. RNAcentral describes it as "partial 16S ribosomal RNA". It matches the Rfam family "Bacterial small subunit ribosomal RNA", at positions 28 to 324 of the family's 1533-position model. The record is from RNAcentral.
GACGAACGCUGGCGGCGUGCUUAACACAUGCAAGUCGAGCGGUAAGGCCCUUUCGGGGGUACGACGAGCGGCGAACGGGUGAGUAACACGUGGGUGACCUGCCCUCAGCUCUGGGAUAAGCCUGGGAAACUGGGUCUAAUACUGGAUAUGACUCCACGGUGCAUGUCGUGGGGUGGAAAGCCUUGUGCGGCUAGGGAUGGGCCCGCGGCCUAUCAGCUUGUUGGUGGGGUGAUGGCCUACCAAGGCGACGACGGGUAGCCGGCCUGAGAGGGCGACCGGCCACACUGGGGACUAGA